UCCCUUUAGUGGACAUUAGCAAAUAGCAAAAUGCUCAAAAUCCAGGUAUAAAUAUGCUACCUGCAACUUGCAAUUAAAAAUAUGUUACAAAUAUGAUAAUAGGAGAAUCAGAUGGUAUCGUUUCAAAUAAAGAAUAAGCAAUGAAGGAAGCAACAGCCCCCCCUUUUUAAAAAAAACAGCAACAAAUUUUCUGGGAGGGAAGUUGAAAAUGUUGCUUUCAGCCAUAUUCUUUCCAUUACAGUGGUACCUCGGGUUACAGACGCUUCAGGUUACAGACUCCACUAACCCAGAAAUAGUACCUCGGGUUAAGAACUUUGCUUCAGGAUGAGAACAGAAAUCGCACGGCGGCAGCGGGAGUCCCUAUUAGCUAAAGUGGUACCUCAGGUUAAGAACAGUUUCAGGUUAAGAACAGACCUCCAGAACGAAUUAAGUUCUUAACCCGAGGUACCACUGUGUAGAAUUCUUAGUUUCACACACAUAUUCCCUAAUUAGGGUAAAUGCAAGAGUUCAGUACCUCACUCCACAUGUGGCUAGAAUGCUUUGGAGAAAACAUCCCAUAGGUGCCAAUGGGAACUGAAAGAGAAUACUUUUUAAUCUCCCUCUGCCACCGCCCCCCCCAACAUAUUUCAUAUUUGACUGAUAUAGUAUGGCAAUAAAUGAAGACAAUGGGUAGAGGGUCAAAAUCAAAUACAGUGGUACUUCAGGU
Non-coding RNA from Podarcis lilfordi (Lilford's wall lizard), 706 nucleotides. Lineage: Eukaryota; Metazoa; Chordata; Lepidosauria; Squamata; Lacertidae. The record is from the annotation of a GenBank genome assembly.